UCUGCUUUGGGAGCAGAGGGUCGGAGGUUCGAAUCCUCUCGCCCCGACCA
Molecule: transfer RNA, 50 nt
Filed under: Brevundimonas sp.
Lineage: Bacteria; Pseudomonadati; Pseudomonadota; Alphaproteobacteria; Caulobacterales; Caulobacteraceae
Description: tRNA-Ser
Rfam family: tRNA
About the family: Transfer RNA (tRNA) molecules are approximately 80 nucleotides in length.
Source: RNAcentral